GUUGUUCGGAAUUACUGGGCGUAAAGCGCGCGUAGGCGGCUUUGUAAGUUAGAGGUGAAAGCCCGGGGCUCAACUCCGGAAUUGCCUUUAAGACUGCAUCGCUAGAAUUGUGGAGAGGUAAGUGGAAUUCCGAGUGUAGAGGUGAAAUUCGUAGAUAUUCGGAAGAACACCAGUGGCGAAGGCGGCUUGCUGGACUCAUAGUGACGCUGAGGUGCGAAAGCGUGGGGAGCAAACAGG
RNAcentral lists this ribosomal RNA (237 nucleotides) under uncultured bacterium. RNAcentral describes it as "partial 16S ribosomal RNA". It matches the Rfam family "Bacterial small subunit ribosomal RNA", at positions 540 to 776 of the family's 1533-position model. The record is from RNAcentral.